This 72-nucleotide transfer RNA is filed under the name Trichobilharzia regenti. It matches the Rfam family "tRNA". From Rfam's summary of the family: Transfer RNA (tRNA) molecules are approximately 80 nucleotides in length. Their secondary structure includes four short double-helical elements and three loops (D, anti-codon, and T loops). The record is from Rfam by way of RNAcentral. Lineage: Eukaryota; Metazoa; Platyhelminthes; Trematoda; Strigeidida; Schistosomatidae.
GCGUCAGUGGCACAACGGUAGAGUGCUUGUCGGCCACACUGUUGGUCCGAGGUUCGAUCCCCCGCCGACGCA